UCCAUAAUGUCAUGUUGCUAAUGCUUAUGUAUCUUCAAAACAGGUUAAAGUCAUUUUGUAUGGAAGGUGAACGAGAACGGAUGAGUGAACAAAUCAUGGUAUUGGAAAACAAGUUGUUGGAAGCACUAGAUUGGAAAUUUAUGCAUGAAACAGAUCUGAAAAAAAAUUCUGAUUUGAUGAUCGAAGAUGUACAUAAUGAUGGUAAUCUCAUCUCCAAACAGGAGUCAAGUUGAAAAUCACGAUGGCAGUCUUUGGUUAGGGAGGAAAAUGAGUUUCUCAAUAUUCAGGUCUAGAUCACACUUGAU
Molecule: long non-coding RNA, 305 nt
Organism: Glycine soja
Lineage: Eukaryota; Viridiplantae; Streptophyta; Magnoliopsida; Fabales; Fabaceae
Exons: 4
Source: RefSeq, a predicted model, not a curated record